Corticium candelabrum is the source of this 3303-nucleotide RNA transcript. It is a transcript of the gene named IQ calmodulin-binding motif-containing protein 1-like, with no coding region annotated. The record is from RefSeq and is a predicted model, not a curated record. The transcript has 3 exons. NCBI's taxonomy places the organism in Eukaryota, Metazoa, Porifera, Homoscleromorpha, Homosclerophorida, Plakinidae.
UUCAAUCGAUUGCCGUCGAUAUCUCAGAAUGUCGGGACGAGGAGCUUGCAUGGAGAUUACUCUCUAUCGGAGACAUUCUGAAAGACUGCUUCAGCAGUAGGCGGGCCCACACGGCCGCUCUCAACGAACUCUGGAAAUUUGGACUCGUCGAGACGUGCGUGGACACGCUUCGUCAGGAAUUUGAUACUGUACGCGACGGUUGGACCACGGCAGCUAGAAUGACCGACGUUGUGAGCCGCUGCUUUAGAGCUUUACCGCGGGAAGAGACACACAAAGAUAUCGCCAUUUCUCUCAUGCCUGUUGCCGUGGAAAGCAUGUUAGUGGUCGGGAAUACGAUUCAGGAAAUGUUUGUUGAUGGGUUGAAUGGUCGGACGGGCGUGGAGUCGAAGGAGAUGUUGGAGAACGUAAGAAUGGUCACCAACUCUGUGACGUCGCUGUGUGGUGUACAUCCGGGGUUGGUUAUCCGGGUACUGACGUCUCCCAUCCUGCUUCAUAUGAUUAUUACUGAUAAUUGUGAUACUGCCCGCUUGCUGUUGGUUAUGAUUCGUUCGUUGCUGGAGUUAUGUAGAUCAAAUGAAUUGCUUGCGAGUUUGAGCCAAGACGAUGUCAGUAAUCUAGUGGACGAGCUCGUGUUUAAGAUUUCAUCCAGUCAAGAGUCGAUCAUUGCGUGUGCUGCUAUUAAAGUUAUGCUAGCGUUUGCUGAUGUGAUUCCCUCUCUGAGUCAGUUCUAUGUGGCUCAAUACAGCAGUCUCAGACCUUUGAUCAGCAAAUGGAGAAAUCAAGGAUUUGACGAUGACGUUAAGCAGCUGUUAAGACUACUGGAGGAAGAUCGAGAAGAAGAGAUGAGACUGAUGGUUCAAAAUCAAGCGGCUAGUAAAAUACAGAGCACAUGGAGGGCAUAUAAUACGAGACAACAGAUGGAAAGGAUGAAACGGGGGAUACUAAAGUUACAACGGAUUGUGAGGAGAAAGCAGACAGUCGAGAGAGAACGGAGAGAGAAAGAGAAGUUGAGUAGACUAGAAAAGGAACUGAAAGAGGAGAAAUACAGGAAGGAAAUGAGGGCAAGCCUUCACACACAAUUACAGUUACUUGAACACGUUCCUGCUCAGAAGGUUAACAGUUUCUUGAUGGAACAAAAAGAGCGAGCUGCUGUGAUACUACAGAGUCAGUGGCGUGGACUGAUUGCUCGGAGAAAGACGGCACGGCUGAGGAUUAGUAAGAAACGCCACGAAGCGGCAACUUGCAUACAGAGAAACGUGCGACGGUUUGUUAGCCAACGACGAUCAAAGAGAGCCGAUGAGCCACGCUAUCAGUUUGCCUUUUUGUUAGACAAUCUCACUGAUGCUAGACGUUCUGAAUUACAGUCAAGAAUCGAUGCAGAACGCAAGAAAAAACCAUACAGCUACACGUCGAUGGAUGAUUUACACACAGUGCACGAGAACGCUCAACGGCUGAUGGGCGAUUUCUUAGUUCACAGUGAAAAGCACAUGCAGAAGGAUAUACACAGACGAGCGCUAAUCGCACAACUUCAGACCGAUGUCGAUCAGCUCAUGAAUGCACCUAAACUUGAUGCAGUCACAAGGAAAGAUGUGGAUGCGUUUACUUCGGGAUCUGGUCCUGUGGCUAAGAUGGCGCAGAUUGCUCACACGGAGGAGUUGAAGGCGAUUCGUUUACCUUGGUGGCGACGCGUUCCUCUCGAUCAAGAGGUCAAUUUGUUAGAAUUGGGGACAUACUAUGCGACAGACGACAAGUAGAUAUUAACAUUUUUUCAGCACUUUUGUAAGCAAAUGGACAGCAGAAGGCGUGGUUGGAGAUGGUUUGGAGUUUUCAAGCCUUGUGGUUGUAAGUAGCCAUGGCAUGCUGUAAACCCCCACAAACAUCAAUAGAGGUGGCAGGGUCUUUGGGAUUUCUUGUGAUGCACAUCACAUGAUACACAACAGGGUGGGGAUUCAUUCCGCCAAGUGAGAUGUGGACGUUUGCGAUCUAGAUUCGAUCUGGAUUGUUUCUGGUUUAGUGUGGACACAGCUUUAGUGGCUGGUUGUAUUUCACUGGAAGUUGUAGACAAAUUAUUGUAUUGACUCAGUGGGAUUGACACAUCUGGUGCUAUAUACACUGCAAGUGAGUGUUGACUUUUCUGAAUGUAAUCAAUAUGUGUUAGUAUAUAGUAGCCUAGCUAGUUAAAAUUAACAGCAAAACAACAAUGAUAACAAUAACAACAAGCAUGUGGUACUGCAGCAGAUACAUAAUAGAAUAUUGUGAUGAGGAUAGCAGAGAAAAUGUGGAGUUCAAUACAUGUAGCUACUUAACUUGUGUUGUCUGCUACUAUUUGAAAGAGUUCCAGGCAAUGUUGACACAAGUAGCUGCUGAAUGGAAAUGAUAGAAUAUCCAGAGAGGAUAGAAGACGUCAGACAAUUGAACCCAAAUUGAGUAAAAGUCAGAGUAGAGAGGAUUGCAAUACAAUCCAGACAUCUCGUAAGUCUUUGAUAUCCAGAGAGUCAAAUUGCAGAUAAAGAGAACGAGAGCUGCAGUUCCUCUCCUGUCUGCAGGCGUGAGGUUGUGAUCUCUUUCAUUCCGAGCUGGAUUCCCUCCAUCAUCUGCAGGGUUUGGAAAAAUGCAAGACAUCCUGUUAGGAAGCUUUGAGCACUAGAGAGUCUCAACAUGGUGUGGCAGCUUAUUUUGUUAUGACCUGUAGAAGGGAUGUGAAACUUAUUAUUUGUAUAUUUACUGUUGAGGGAAGCGUUAAGUUGAAGACAUUGUGCAAAAUAGAGACCAGAUACAGAGAUGAGGAUAAGAGCUCCUUCCACCAUUGUGUGACUACCUUUCGUGUGAUGAUCUCUGAUUUGUGGUUCUUGUUCUGCUGGUGGAUCACAGGCUGGUGGAUCAUGGGCUGGCGGAUCACGAGUCUUGCUUGCUAAGCCAUCUGAAAUUAGACCGAUAAUUGCUGUAAUGAGAGCUGUAGAGAUUACCACAACUUGGCUAACUUCAUAAAUGACAGUUGGUUGUGUGAGUGAAUUAGUCUUAUUAUCAAUUACAAUAUGUAUGAUCAUAGCAACAAGAGUUAAUGAAAAGAGAAUGGUUGCAAAGACUGUAGCAUAACAGCAAAGGUGACUGCAUCGUCUGUUUGUUUGCUGUCGAUUUGGAUGAAUUAGGGGCCGAUCCUCAUCACCAUCAUCAUUAUUGUCAUCGGUGCCAUUAUCAGCAGCUUGGUCAGCUGACUGGGUCUGUUGAUUUAACCACAAUUUAAGAAUAAGACCGGAUGCACUGAGACAGAAUUCGGCAAUGCAUGGAUAAAGGAAUGGUAUA